RNAcentral lists this non-coding RNA (149 nucleotides) under Escherichia coli. RNAcentral describes it as "Glm Y RNA activator of glmS mRNA". It matches the Rfam family "GlmZ RNA activator of glmS mRNA", at positions 3 to 156 of the family's 214-position model. Rfam says of the family: This RNA was discovered in E. coli during a large scale screen. The record is from RNAcentral. RNAcentral also lists the same sequence under 4 other names. Lineage: Bacteria; Pseudomonadati; Pseudomonadota; Gammaproteobacteria; Enterobacterales; Enterobacteriaceae.
AGAUGCUCAUUCCAUCUCUUAUGUUCGCCUUAGUGCCUCAUAAACUCCGGAAUGACGCAGAGCCGUUUACGGUGCUUAUCGUCCACUGACAGAUGUCGCUUAUGCCUCAUCAGACACCAUGGACACAACGUUGAGUGAAGCACCCACUU